CACUGACCCUUCAGCCUGCUUCCUUGAGCUUCUGGCAAAGAUAUCUCUAUCUAUCUAUAUCUCUGUCUCAUUAGAGAUAUCUUUGCCAGAAGCUCAAGGAAGCAGGCUGAAGGGUCAGUGU
Pelobates cultripes (western spadefoot toad) is the source of this 121-nucleotide non-coding RNA. NCBI's taxonomy places the organism in Eukaryota, Metazoa, Chordata, Amphibia, Anura, Pelobatidae. The record is from the annotation of a GenBank genome assembly.